This 464-nucleotide ribosomal RNA is filed under the name uncultured bacterium. RNAcentral's name for it is "partial 16S ribosomal RNA". It matches the Rfam family "Bacterial small subunit ribosomal RNA", at positions 339 to 795 of the family's 1533-position model. The record is from RNAcentral.
CUACGGGAUGCAGCAGUGGGGAAUAUUGGACAAUGGGGGGAACCCUGAUCCAGCCAUGCCGCGUGUGUGAAGAAGGCCUUUUGGUUGUAAAGCACUUUAAGCAGUGAAGAAGACUCUUCGGUUAAUACCCGGGGACGAUGACAUUAGCUGCAGAAUAAGCACCGGCUAACUCUGUGCCAGCAGCCGCGGUAAUACAGAGGGUGCAAGCGUUAAUCGGAAUUACUGGGCGUAAAGCGAGCGUAGGUGGCUUGAUAAGUCAGAUGUGAAAUCCCCGGGCUUAACCUGGGAACUGCAUCUGAAACGGUUAGGCUAGAGUAGGUGAGAGGGAAGUAGAAUUUCAGGUGUAGCGGUGAAAUGCGUAGAGAUCUGAAGGAAUACCGAUGGCGAAGGCAGCUUCCUGGCAUCAUACUGACACUGAGGCUCGAAAGCGUGGGUAGCAAACAGGAUUAGAUACCCCCGUAGUC